UAAAAGACUAUGAUUAGGAAAAGUACCUUAGAUAUUAUUUUUAGAGAGUAGCUGUUUGGUGUAAAGCUAUAAUAAAUCUUAGAGAAAAUCACCUAGGAGUUGGAGACUGAAAGGCACUAAUUGCCAAAUAAGUUGUCACGUAACAGCCUGCGUUAAAGGAUAGAGUAUGUAUGUACUUGAAAUAAAGCAUUUAAUACUAUAUUUAAAUGUUUUGCCUUAGGUGGUUUGCGAAUUCAACUUCGUCCUGUAG
Molecule: non-coding RNA, 250 nt
Filed under: Clostridium sp.
Lineage: Bacteria; Bacillati; Bacillota; Clostridia; Eubacteriales; Clostridiaceae
Description: T-box sequence
Rfam family: T-box leader
About the family: Uncharged tRNA acts as the effector for transcription antitermination of genes in the T-box leader family. T-boxes are found upstream of many aminoacyl-tRNA synthetase genes and some amino acid biosynthetic genes usually in Gram-positive bacteria.
Source: RNAcentral